GAUGAACGCUGGCGGCGUGCCUAAUACAUGCAAGUCGAGCGAACAGAUGAGGAGCUUGCUCCUCUGACGUUAGCGGCGGACGGGUGAGUAACACGUGGAUAACCUACCUAUAAGACUGGGAUAACUUCGGGAAACCGGAGCUAAUACCGGAUAAUAUAUUGAACCGCAUGGUUCAAUAGUGAAAGACGGUUUUGCUGUCACUUAUAGAUGGAUCCGCGCCGCAUUAGCUAGUUGGUAAGGUAACGGCUUACCAAGGCAACGAUGCGUAGCCGACCUGAGAGGGUGGUCGGCCCGACUGGAACUGAGAACCGGCCCCGACUCCUACGGGAGGCAGCAGUAGGGAAUCUUGCGCGAUGGGCGAAAGCCUGACGGAGCAACGCCGCGUGAGUGAUGAAGGUCUUCGGAUCGUAAAACUCUGUUAUUAGGGAAGAACAAAUGUGUAAGUAACUAUGCACGUCUUGACGGUACCUAAUCAGAAAGCCACGGCUAACUACGUG
This 497-nucleotide ribosomal RNA is filed under the name uncultured bacterium. Its description in RNAcentral is "partial 16S ribosomal RNA". It matches the Rfam family "Bacterial small subunit ribosomal RNA", at positions 28 to 507 of the family's 1533-position model. The record is from RNAcentral.